CAGUUGUCCCGACAGCAUGAGGCACAGCUGCAUGAACAUAUCAAGCAGCAGCAGGAGAUGCUGGCCAUGAAGCACCAGCAGGAGCUGCUGGAGCACCAGCGGAAACUGGAGCGGCACCGGCAAGAGCAGGAGCUGGAGAAGCAGCACCGUGAGCAGAAGCUGCAGCAGCUCAAGAACAAGGAGAAGGGCAAAGAGAGUGAGUGCUGGUGGGCACAGUGAGGACUCAGGGCUGGCCCCGCUGCCUCUGUUGCCUGUGCUGCUUCCCCAGGCAGCUCUGGAGGGGCUUGUCACCCCACGCAUGAGUCAUCAGUGUCUUCAGGGUGAUUGUUUCAGGUCACUUUAAUUGGGUCUGGAGGCCAACCAAUGACCCUGCUUCUGACUUCAUCCAGGUGUCAAGGAAGACUCUGUAUCAGCCUGAGUGCGGGGCAUUUUGGGGCUCCCGUGUGGAGUCAGGCAUCUUCAGACUGCUCGGCAGUACUCUUCAUAGAUGCACAGAAUAUUAAAGCCGUAAAGCACAUC
RNAcentral lists this long non-coding RNA (519 nucleotides) under Rattus norvegicus (Norway rat). Its description in RNAcentral is "long non-coding RNA NONRATT030294". Lineage: Eukaryota; Metazoa; Chordata; Mammalia; Rodentia; Muridae. The record is from RNAcentral.